UGGGGAAUAUUGCACAAUGGGCGCAAGCCUGAUGCAGCGACGCCGCGUGAGGGAUGACGGCCUUCGGGUUGUAAACCUCUUUCAGCAGGGACGAAGCGCAAGUGACGGUACCUGCAGAAGAAGCACCGGCCAACUACGUGCCAGCAGCCGCGGUAAUACGUAGGGUGCAAGCGUUGUCCGGAAUUACUGGGCGUAAAGAGCUCGUAGGCGGUUUGUCGCGUCGUCUGUGAAAACCAGCAGCUCAACUGUUGGCUUGCAGGCGAUACGGGCAGACUUGAGUAUUUCAGGGGAGACUGGAAUUCCUGGUGUAGCGGUGAAAUGCGCAGAUAUCAGGAGGAACACCGGUGGCGAAGGCGGGUCUCUGGGAAAUAACUGACGCUGAGGAGCGAAAGCGUGGGUAGCGAACAGG
This 409-nucleotide ribosomal RNA is filed under the name uncultured bacterium. RNAcentral's name for it is "bacterial SSU rRNA". It matches the Rfam family "Bacterial small subunit ribosomal RNA", at positions 355 to 776 of the family's 1533-position model. The record is from RNAcentral.